GAUCAUGGCUCAGAAUCAACGCUGGCGGCGCGCUUAACACAUGCAAGUCGGACGAGAAAGGGAGCAAUCCUGAGUAAAGUGGCGUACGGGUGAGUAACGCGUGGGUAAUCUACCCUUUGGUGGGGAAUAACCCUGGGAAACCGGGGCUAAUACCGCAUAAGACCGCAAGGUGAAAGGAGAAAUUCGCCAAAGGAGGAGCCCGCGGCUGAUUAGCUAGUUGGUAGGGUAAAGGCCUACCAAGGCUUCGAUCGGUAG
RNAcentral lists this ribosomal RNA (255 nucleotides) under uncultured bacterium. Its description in RNAcentral is "partial 16S ribosomal RNA". It matches the Rfam family "Bacterial small subunit ribosomal RNA", at positions 15 to 286 of the family's 1533-position model. The record is from RNAcentral.